AUAUUAAUAAGUCCAGGAAAAGAAACUAACUAGGAUUCCCAUAGUAAUGGCGAAUGAAGUGGGAAUAGCUCAGGUUUAAAAUCUAAUGGUAUUUCACUAUUAGAAUUGUAGUCUUUGGAAUGGUUAUCGAGGUAUUUGCUAGUAUAAGCCUUUGGAAUAAGGUGCCCAAGAGGGUGAUAGCCCCGUAUAUGACUAGUAACUAAUAUCUUAAUAUGUUAAUUAUUCUUAGAGUCGGGUUGUUUGGGAAUGCAGCCUUAAAUUGGGUGGUAAAUUCCAUCUAAAGCUAAAUAUUGGCAUGAGACCGAUAGCGCACAAGUA
RNAcentral lists this ribosomal RNA (318 nucleotides) under uncultured eukaryote. RNAcentral's name for it is "partial large subunit ribosomal RNA". It matches the Rfam family "Eukaryotic large subunit ribosomal RNA", at positions 40 to 350 of the family's 3401-position model. The record is from RNAcentral.